Molecule: ribosomal RNA, 593 nt
Filed under: uncultured bacterium
Lineage: Bacteria
Description: bacterial SSU rRNA
Rfam family: Bacterial small subunit ribosomal RNA
Source: RNAcentral
UUCUGAGAGGAAGGUCCCCCACAUUGGAACUGAGACACGGUCCAAACUCCUACGGGAGGCAGCAGUGAGGAAUAUUGGUCAAUGGGCGAGAGCCUGAACCAGCCAAGUAGCGUGCAGGAUGACGGCCCUAUGGGUUGUAAACUGCUUUUAUAGGGGAAUAAAGUGAGCCACGUGUGGUUUUUUGCAUGUACCCUAUGAAUAAGGACCGGCUAAUUCCGUGCCAGCAGCCGCGGUAAUACGGAAGGUCCGGGCGUUAUCCGGAUUUAUUGGGUUUAAAGGGAGCGUAGGCCGGAGAUUAAGCGUGUUGUGAAAUGUAGAUGCUCAACAUCUGCACUGCAGCGCGAACUGGUUUCCUUGAGUACGCAUAAAGUGGGCGGAAUUCGUGGUGUAGCGGUGAAAUGCUUAGAUAUCACGAAGAACUCCGAUUGCGAAGGCAGCUCACUGGGGCGCAACUGACGCUGAAGCUCGAAAGCGCGGGUAUCGAACAGGAUUAGAUACCCUGGUAGUCCGCGCGGUAAACGAUGGAUGCCCGCUGUUGGGCCAACUGGUUCAGCGGCCAAGCGAAAGCAUUAAGCAUCCCACCUGGGGAGUAC